CGGACGGGUGAGUAAUGUCUGGGAAACUGCCCGAUGAGGGGGGAUAACUACUGGAAACGGUAGCUAAUACCGCAUAACGUCGCAAGACCAAGAGGGGGACCUUCGGGCCUCUUGCCAUCGGAUGUGCCCAGAUGGGAUUAGCUAGUAGGUGGGGUAACGGCUCACCUAGGCGACGAUCCCUAGCUGGUCUGAGAGGAUGACCAGCCACACUGGAACUGAGACACGGUCCAG
RNAcentral lists this ribosomal RNA (231 nucleotides) under uncultured bacterium. Its description in RNAcentral is "partial 16S ribosomal RNA". It matches the Rfam family "Bacterial small subunit ribosomal RNA", at positions 99 to 334 of the family's 1533-position model. The record is from RNAcentral.